CUAUAUUAUGUGUCCAAAAUUUCAGAAAGCUGCUGCUUAGGUUCUAUAGCUUGUAAUGCAAUAAGAGAGUUUGCAAUAAUUUUUGGAGCCAAUAAUUGCAUAUCGUAAGAUAGCUUCACAAACCAGUUCUUAGCUGUAGCUUCCUCUUGCCAACCAAAAGAUAUAGCUUCACAUUCACUUGCAAAUCAAAAUAUAUUCUACUACCACC
RNAcentral lists this unclassified non-coding RNA (208 nucleotides) under Hevea brasiliensis (rubber tree). The record is from RNAcentral. Lineage: Eukaryota; Viridiplantae; Streptophyta; Magnoliopsida; Malpighiales; Euphorbiaceae.